AACACGUGGGUAACCUGCCUGUAAGACUGGGAUAACUCCGGGAAACCGGGGCUAAUACCGGAUGGUUGUUUGAACCGCAUGGUUCAAACAUAAAAGGUGGCUUCGGCUACCACUUACAGAUGGACCCGCGGCGCAUUAGCUAGUUGGUGAGGUAACGGCUCACCAAGGCAACGAUGCGUAGCCGACCUGAGAGGGUGAUCGGCCACACUGGGACUGAGACACGGCCCAGACUCCUACGGGAGGCAGCAGUAGGGAAUCUUCCGCAAUGGACGAAAGUCUGACGGAGCAACGCCGCGUGAGUGAUGAAGGUUUUCGGAUCGUAAAGCUCUGUUGUUAGGGAAGAACAAGUACCGUUCGAAUAGGGCGGUACCUUGACGGUACCUAACCAGAAAGCCACGGCUAACUACGUGCCAGCAGCCGCGGUAAUACGUAGGUGGCAAGCGUUGUCCGGAAUUAUUGGGCGUAAAGGGCUCGCAGGCGGUUUCUUAAGUCUGAUGUGAAAGCCCCCGGCUCAACCGGGG
RNAcentral lists this ribosomal RNA (521 nucleotides) under Bacillus sp. (in: firmicutes). RNAcentral's name for it is "bacterial SSU rRNA". It matches the Rfam family "Bacterial small subunit ribosomal RNA", at positions 112 to 618 of the family's 1533-position model. The record is from RNAcentral. Lineage: Bacteria; Bacillati; Bacillota; Bacilli; Caryophanales; Bacillaceae.